RNAcentral lists this ribosomal RNA (434 nucleotides) under uncultured bacterium. RNAcentral's name for it is "partial 16S ribosomal RNA". It matches the Rfam family "Bacterial small subunit ribosomal RNA", at positions 29 to 506 of the family's 1533-position model. The record is from RNAcentral.
AGCGAACGCUGGCGGCAGGCUUAACACAUGCAAGUCGAACGGGCUUCUUCGGAAGUCAGUGGCAGACGGGUGAGUAACACGUGGGAACGUGCCCUUCGGUUCGGAAUAACUCAGGGAAACUUGAGCUAAUACCGGAUACGCCCUUUUGGGGAAAGGUUGACUGCCGAAGGAUCGGCCCGCGUCUGAUUAGCUUGUUGGUGGGGUAACGGCCUACCAAGGCGACGAUCAGUAGCUGGUCUGAGAGGAUGAUCAGCCACACUGGGACUGAGACACGGCCCAGACUCCGACGGGAGGCAGCAGUGGGGAAUAUUGGAGAAUGGGCGCAAGCUGGAUCCCGCCAUGCCGCGUGAGUGAUGAAGGGCUUAGGGUAGUAAAGCUCCUUUGUCCGGGACGAUAAGGACGGGACCGGAAGAAUAAGCCCCGGCUACCUGCGU